CGGUGUGUACUGAUUGAGUAUCAGUGCUGUGAAUAACUGCUUUUAACCUUAUACUUAAAGUGAUUCUGACAAAGCCUCUUUUAUACUAAAACAGGAGGUACUUGUUUUCUGACCUAGUAAAGAUUGGGGGGAGACUAUGGAUGCCUGGGCCCCUGUUGCCACAAAUGGUAUGGUUCCUGCGGGGUGGGAAUAGGCAUCUCACACUCCAAAGGGCUUUUUAGGAAUCGUGGAAUCGCACUGCAAAAACUGUCCACACAGUAGCAGACGCCGAGGCUUCUUCUUCCCCUUUUGUCUUCCCUGCGUCACCGGAGGCAACGGUUUUCUGAUGCUACUAUUUACUCAGGACAGGUAACUACCGAAAGAAGACGAUGUGUAAACCAUCAGAAGAGCAGAAAGAGGAACAGGCCUGGAAUCUAUUCUCCAGGAAUUGUUACGCCCUCAGAGUGGUCCAUCCUGAAUGAGCCAGAUCUUGAAGGGAAAAAACAGCAAAUCAACAACUCCAGGGGAACACUAUGGAAAUUGUUUUGCAAUCGUAAACCCAUGAAUCAGUCUGAAAGUUGAUCAAAACUAAAUGCAUUCUGGGGCGCCUGGGUGGCUCAGUGGGUUAAGCCUCUGCCUUCUGCUCAGGUCAUGAUCUCA
This is a long non-coding RNA of Mustela erminea (ermine), 639 nucleotides long. RefSeq lists it as uncharacterized. The record is from RefSeq and is a predicted model, not a curated record. Lineage: Eukaryota; Metazoa; Chordata; Mammalia; Carnivora; Mustelidae. The transcript has 3 exons.